GGACCCGCACAAGUAGUGGAGCAUGUGGUUUAAUUCGAAGAUACGCGCAGAACCUUACCAACACUUGACAUGUUCGUCGCGACUCUAAGAGAUUAGAGUUUUCGGUUCGGCCGGACGAAACACAGGUGCUGCAUGGCUGUCGUCAGCUCGUGUCGUGAGAUGUUGGGUUAAGUCCCGCAACGAGCGCAACCCUCACUUUUAGUUGCCAUCAUUCAGUUGGGCACUCUGAAAGAACUGCCAGUGAUAAGCUGGAGGAAGGUGGGGAUGACGUCAAGUCCUCAUGGCCCUUACGUGUUGGGCUACACACGUGCUACAAUGGUAUCUACAACAGGAAGCAAGACGGCGACGUUAAGCAAAUCCCUUAAAACCGUUCGUAGUCCGGAUUGGAGUCUGCAACUCGACUCCAUGAAGUCGGAAUCGCUAGUAAUCG
This 430-nucleotide ribosomal RNA is filed under the name uncultured bacterium. RNAcentral describes it as "bacterial SSU rRNA". It matches the Rfam family "Bacterial small subunit ribosomal RNA", at positions 917 to 1344 of the family's 1533-position model. The record is from RNAcentral.